RNAcentral lists this transfer RNA (68 nucleotides) under Marcia japonica. RNAcentral's name for it is "tRNA-Phe". Lineage: Eukaryota; Metazoa; Mollusca; Bivalvia; Venerida; Veneridae. The record is from RNAcentral.
GUCUUGGUAGUUUAAAUAAAAUGCGGCUUUGAAGCGGCUGUGAUGGUAUUACUUGUGCCCUGAGAUAC